UUGUGAAUUAGUAAGAUAUUUUCAUGCUUCUGAUGUCAUACAGCUUAUCGAAACACGACUUCAAGAACAUUUCCUUAUAGACAUUAUCUAAUGCUUCUAUACUUUCUCUACAUUCGACACGUUGGAACGUAUUGUGACCUUUGUGUCACAUCGAUCAUCAAUGUUGUGUAUGUACUCCAUCCUGCAAACUGCAUAAGAUUAUUAGAUUUUUAGUUUUGAAGUAAAGGAUGGAACAAAUUAUAGAGGUGGAGUGGAACAAAAUAUAUAUAUAUUAAAAGUAUUUAUUUGACAAGAUCUCUAAAACUUAUUAAAUUCCACUAUAACCUGGGAAAGAAUAUGCAAAUUUAAG
Molecule: long non-coding RNA, 349 nt
Filed under: Olea europaea subsp. europaea
Lineage: Eukaryota; Viridiplantae; Streptophyta; Magnoliopsida; Lamiales; Oleaceae
Source: RNAcentral